CGGACCUAGCGGCGGACGGGUGAGUAAUGCGUAGGAAGCUACCCGAUAGAGGGGGAUACCAGUUGGAAACGACUGUUAAUACCGCAUAAUGUCUACGGACCAAAGUGUGGGACCUUCGGGCCACAUGCUAUCGGAUGCGCCUACGUGGGAUUAGCUAGUUGGUGAGGUAAUGGCUCACCAAGGCGACGAUCUCUAGCUGGUUUGAGAGGAUGAUCAGCCACACUGGAACUGAGACACGGUCCAGACUCC
RNAcentral lists this ribosomal RNA (249 nucleotides) under uncultured Rheinheimera sp. RNAcentral's name for it is "partial 16S ribosomal RNA". It matches the Rfam family "Bacterial small subunit ribosomal RNA", at positions 87 to 339 of the family's 1533-position model. The record is from RNAcentral. Lineage: Bacteria; Pseudomonadati; Pseudomonadota; Gammaproteobacteria; Chromatiales; Chromatiaceae.